Molecule: small RNA, 246 nt
Filed under: Tursiops truncatus (common bottlenose dolphin)
Lineage: Eukaryota; Metazoa; Chordata; Mammalia; Artiodactyla; Delphinidae
Description: 7SK RNA (ENSTTRG00000024951.1)
Rfam family: 7SK RNA
About the family: 7SK was discovered as an abundant small nuclear RNA in the mid-70s but a possible function has only recently been suggested. Two independent studies have found that 7SK RNA binds the CDK9/cyclin T complex (known as elongation factor P-TEFb).
Source: RNAcentral
GGAUGAGAAAGGGAUCUGGCUGUAAUAUUUCAGUUCCCAUCCAAGACCAAGGCUCAAUGCACUCUUCCAGGUACUCUUCCCCUCUCACCACUUCGAGUAUGUCCCUCCAAUGCUUGGACAUAGAAGAUGACCUCCUCUAUGGGAGAGGGCCUCUUCUCAGUCAAUGGCCAGUGGGUGUUUUCCCACUGGAACUUCUAAACAAGCCCUUAAGGUCUUGCAUGCCUUUAGGACUGAAGCUCUGCCUUC